RNAcentral lists this transfer RNA (88 nucleotides) under Clostridia bacterium. Its description in RNAcentral is "tRNA-Leu". It matches the Rfam family "tRNA". From Rfam's summary of the family: Transfer RNA (tRNA) molecules are approximately 80 nucleotides in length. Their secondary structure includes four short double-helical elements and three loops (D, anti-codon, and T loops). The record is from RNAcentral. Lineage: Bacteria; Bacillati; Bacillota; Clostridia.
GCGGUGGUGGUGGAACAGGCAGACACGCUACUUUGAGGGGGUAGUGCCCAUUUCGGGCGUGCGAGUUCAAAUCUCGCCCACCGCACCA